GAAAUGCGAUAAGUAAUGUGAAUUGCAGAAUUCAGUGAAUCAUCGAAUCUUUGAACGCACAUUGCGCCCCCUGGCAUUCCGGGGGGCAUGCCUGUUCGAGCGUCUCCGGGACGAACCCUCGCGCUGGCGAACGCGCGGUAUUGGCUGCGGUGGCGUGCCCGAAGCGGCGGCCACCGCGCUGGAAUCCAUGGGCGGACGCCUGCAGCGUGGCCGAGCGUGAUAUGACACGUUGGCGCUCGCACGCGGCGAGGCUGCCAGCCCUGGCCCGUCCGUCGGGCGGGGUAGAGCAAGACAUGGGAACUCCUCGAAUCAGGUAGGGAUACCCGCUGAACUUAA
RNAcentral lists this unclassified non-coding RNA (336 nucleotides) under uncultured Helvella. Its description in RNAcentral is "sequence contains ITS1". The stretch from base 1 to 105 matches the Rfam family "5.8S ribosomal RNA", at positions 50 to 154 of the family's 154-position model. Lineage: Eukaryota; Fungi; Ascomycota; Pezizomycetes; Pezizales; Helvellaceae. The record is from RNAcentral.